This 295-nucleotide long non-coding RNA is filed under the name Gossypium barbadense (sea-island cotton). RNAcentral describes it as "long non-coding RNA (GBAR_LNC019993)". The record is from RNAcentral. Lineage: Eukaryota; Viridiplantae; Streptophyta; Magnoliopsida; Malvales; Malvaceae.
CAGGAGAUAGAGUGCAGGGUUGGUAUGGGUAUUAUGCAUUACAUAUACUGAUUCUGAUAUUGUGAUGGGCUUAGGCCCAGAUAUAUGUGAUAUGUGUCAUUUGUUAUGGGCUCUGCCCUAACCGAGACUGAUAGAGGCUAAGGCCAUUUCCCACCAUUACCGUAAUGGGCUAAGGCCCACACUGAUACUGUUACUAUUAAUGGCUCAGGCCUAGAUUGAUUAUGUUUCUUUAAUAAAGGGAUUACACACUGAGUUUUCAUAAACUCACCCCAUUUUUAACCUUUCAGGUAAUCUC